Molecule: ribosomal RNA, 492 nt
Filed under: uncultured bacterium
Lineage: Bacteria
Description: partial 16S ribosomal RNA
Rfam family: Bacterial small subunit ribosomal RNA
Source: RNAcentral
AUUGAACGCUGGCGGCAUGCUUUACACAUGCAAGUCGAACGGUAACAGGCCUUCGGGUGCUGACGAGUGGCGAACGGGUGAGUAAUGCAUCGGAACGUACCCAGAGGUGGGGGAUAACGCAGCGAAAGCUGUGCUAAUACCGCAUGUGAUCUGAGGAUGAAAGCGGGGGACCGAGCAGCAAUGUUUGGCCUCGCGCCUUUGGAGCGGCCGAUGUCGGAUUAGCUAGUUGGUGGUGUAAAGGCCUACCAAGGCGACGAUCCGUAGCUGGUCUGAGAGGACGACCAGCCACACUGGGACUGAGACACGGCCCAGACUCCUACGGGAGGCAGCAGUGGGGAAUUUUGGACAAUGGGCGCAAGCCUGAUCCAGCAAUGCCGCGUGCGGGAAGAAGGCCUUCGGGUUGUAAACCGCUUUUGGCAGGAACGAAACGGUGUCCGCUAAUACCGGGCGCUAAUGACGGUACCUGCAGAAUAAGCACCGGCUAACUACGUG